UACAGAGGGUGCAAGCGUUAAUCGGAAUUAUUGGGCGUAAAGGGUGUGUAGGUGGUUGGGUAAGUUAGAUGUGAAAUCCCCGGGCUUAACCUGGGAACUGCGUUUAAAACUGCUCGGCUAGAGUAUUGCAGAGGAUAGUGGAAUUUCCAGUGUAGCGGUGAAAUGCGUAGAUAUUGGAAGGAACACCAGUGGCGAAGGCGACUAUCUGGGCAAAUACUGACACUGAGACACGAAAGCAUGGGGAGCAAACAGG
This 253-nucleotide ribosomal RNA is filed under the name uncultured bacterium. RNAcentral's name for it is "partial 16S ribosomal RNA". It matches the Rfam family "Bacterial small subunit ribosomal RNA", at positions 524 to 776 of the family's 1533-position model. The record is from RNAcentral.